UCCAGAGAGGCAGCUGAGGCUGGGGAGGAGGCCGGGGCCAAGCCAAUGCAGGCUUCGGUCAGGGAAGGACUCGGACUUUAUCCCACGGGCGGUGGGCAGCCACUGUGGGUUUCUAAGCUGAAGUGGCACUAAACUGGGCUUGCACUGUGCAAGGAUCACUCCAGCUGCAGUGUGGACAACAGAUUAAAUGGAGAAGGGUGGACUGAAGAGACGGGUCAAGAGGCUGUUGCCCUAGUGAGCUGCAUCCCCUGGAAGUGCUGGAGGUUCUGGAGCUAAGUAGGGCAGAAGUCCUAGAAAGACCACCUCCAAGGCAUGAGACUUCAAAGAGAUCUGAAAUGGAAUCAGCCUUCUCACUGCACGCAAGUUUGGAUGGGUAUCUUCUGCGGCCAGCAACCUCUGGAGCACAUUUUACAGUUUAUUAACAUCAUUACUGAGUCUCAAUACAGAAAUGUUAGAAUCAAACAACAAUCCUCACAGCCUUUUUUCCUGGACUGAAGGACAGCCCCUGGAUGUUUUAAGGAAACAGAAAACUCAAGCCUUGCCAUUACCUACAACGCGUCAGUGGGAGGGCUUCACAACAAAACAGCUUUUGUCUAGGGCUACCUUAUGCAAUCUUGGUUCCUAACCAAGACUUGUUAAGGAACAUAUUUUAAGAAGAUAGCUUCAUUUCCCUAUAAUUAUUG
This is a long non-coding RNA of Camelus dromedarius (Arabian camel), 683 nucleotides long. RefSeq lists it as uncharacterized. The transcript is spliced from 3 exons. NCBI's taxonomy places the organism in Eukaryota, Metazoa, Chordata, Mammalia, Artiodactyla, Camelidae. The record is from RefSeq and is a predicted model, not a curated record.